Molecule: non-coding RNA, 239 nt
Organism: Cinara cedri
Lineage: Eukaryota; Metazoa; Arthropoda; Insecta; Hemiptera; Aphididae
Source: the annotation of a GenBank genome assembly
GAAUCGCAAAAGGGCCGAAGUGCGAAUAUACCCGCCUAAUAACUUCAGUGUGUAAUAUCGUUAGUGUUUCCCUCCCUCCCCGUCCGCGGAUUCCGCAGGUUCUCUCCGCGAAUCUCUCGAGUAUUUCGCUUUCUACAAUCACGCGACGUACGUAUUAUGGCGUUGAUCUCAUCGCUCAGACGGGUAACAGCUUUUACAAGCGGAUUGGCGAAAUCCCCGAAUUCACUCGGGGCCGUUCU